AACAGGAUUAGAUACCCUGGUAGUCCUUGCUGUAAACGAUGCACACUUGAUGUGAGUGGAAUCAACCCCACUCGUGUCGUAGCUAACGCGUUAAGUGUGCCGCCUGAGGAGUACACUCGCAAGGGUGAAACUCAAAAGAAUUGACGGGGGCCCGCACAAGCAGUGGAGCAUGUGGUUUAAUUCGAUGCAACGCGAAGAACCUUACCUGGGUUUGACAUGUAUUUGACAGUAACAGAAAUGUUAUCUUCCGUAAGGACAAAUACACAGGUGCUGCAUGGCUGUCGUCAGCUCGUGCCGUGAGGUGUUGGGUUAAGUCCCGCAACGAGCGCAACCCUUAUCACUAGUUGCCAACAUUUAAGGUGGGAACUCUAGUGAGACUGCCUGGGUUAACCAGGAGGAAGGCGAGGAUGACGUCAAGUCAGCAUGGCCCUUAUGUCCAGGGCUACACACGUGCUACAAUGGCUAAUACAGAAGGUUGCUAAGCCGCAAGGCGGAGCAAAUCCCCAAAGUUAGCCCCAGUUCGGAUUGUAAUCUGCAACUCGAUUACAUGAAGUUGGAAUUGCUAGUAAUGGCGCGUCAGCUAUAGCGCCGUGAAUACGUUCCCGGGCCUUGUACACACCGCCCGUCACAUCAUGGGAGUUGGUUUCACCUUAAAUCACUGACUCAACCGCAAGGAGAGAGGUGCCCAAGGUGAGGCUGAUGACUGGGAUGAAGUCGUAACAAGGUAACC
Molecule: ribosomal RNA, 730 nt
Filed under: uncultured bacterium
Lineage: Bacteria
Description: bacterial SSU rRNA
Rfam family: Bacterial small subunit ribosomal RNA
Source: RNAcentral